UCACAGUUUACAAAUCUGCCAUUCAAAUUAAUUUUGCUCCAUUCCUUAUAAAAAAAAAUGGGCUCCGUUGAAGAAGUGUCAUGGGCUUUAAGGAGGGCCCGUUAAGUAAGCGAACUCGAGAAACAAAACCCAAAUGGUUCUUGAAUAAUGAACAAGAUCGAGAGGCUAUUUUCUCGAUCAAUCUGCUGUCACCUCCGUCCGUCCAACUCCAAUCAAGGAAACGCUCCCCUCUCUCUCUCUUCCAAACUACCUUUUUAUCCAUCACACUUCUGACACAUUGCACUUGUAUAUAUAUUCUCAAAAACUCAAUCGAAAGGCGGAGAAAUCACAGCACCACCAAAAAACCUUCUCUCAAAUGACAGUAUGGGGACUGGAAAAGAUAAGGAAUCAAUCGCAACUGAUUACGACGACAAAACUGUCGCGUUUCUCCAAAACCAACACUCUUCCACCUACUCCUCUUCUUCCUCUUGCGUGAAGGACGACGAAGCUUACCCCGGCAGCGGCGGAGUAUUAGUAAACAGGAGCGGCACGGUAUGGACGGCGGUGGCGCACAUAAUCACGGGCGUAAUCGGAUCGGGAGUCCUCUCGCUACAAUGGAGCAUGGCUCAGUUAGGUUGGAUUGCCGGACCCGCCGCGAUGCUUCUAUUCGCCGCCAUAACUCUGCUCUCCGCUUUCCUUCUCUGCGAUUGCUACCGAUCUCCUCACCCCUUGCUCGGCCCUUCCCGCAAUCGGUCGUAUCUUGACGCCGUCCUUCUAACUUUAGGUACGCCUUCACUUAAUUUGAAUUUCCCGUUGAUUGUUGAUUCGGUUAUCUUCUCUUUUCAAGUACUCUGUUCUUGCUUCCCAGUUUAAUCGGUACACGGUAGAAAUUCAGAAGUUUAAAGUAAAAAUGGAGACAGUUAGAAAGGUGAAAAUGUAAAUGGUGGGAGUUGUUAAUUAGUGUGAUUCCGUGAUUUUGGGGAUCUCCAGGUAGAUUUUUUUCUGGUAAUUCUAACUGAUAAGUAGUAUAACAAUAAUGAACAAUCUGAUAUUCACCAUUAUAGAAAAAAUACAAAGGAUUUAAUUAAUUCCUUAUUAUUUAUUGAUUAAUUUGAUUUAUUUGGUUGGUGAUGACUGAUCAGCUUGUCUGUAAUAAAUUAAAAUUGAUUUUAUGCAAAGAAGUUGUGUACACGGAAACUCUGUGAUUGCCACGCGGAGGCAUUUUUAUGGGGAAUUCGUUCUCCAUUGUUUCCGACUAGCUUUUUGAUUGGUCAACAUCACUGCCCCCAGAUCAUACAAAUAAAAUUUGUCAGGGAUUUAUUUUUCAUGAUUCUAAUUCGAUGACUCUAAAAAUAAAUCAUGAAAAGCUUAUAUAAAGUAUAUAACUAUAUUCAUUUACAUUGCCUAUAUAUCAUAUAUGCAAUAUUUUUAUCUAAUUUAAAUAUUAAAAACAACUUUAAAAUAUAAAAAAUGAAAGAAUAACUAAUUUAGUUACGAUAGUUAAAAUAGAAUUUGAGAUUUGGUUGUGGCACAAAACCCACUUAAGGCCAAAACUAUUAUUGAUGCACCAAAUGGUUUGAGAAAUGAGAUACGUGCCAAACUUUGCAACAAACUUCAUAAAAUUAUUACUUUUAAAGCUGACACGAAAAUUGACGCAGCUUUGCAUAUACUAUCUUGUACUUGUUUGUUUAUUUAAUUAAAUAAUUUGUCUUCCACAUUCCUUUGUUUGUGUCACCUUCCCCAACAUCUAUCUAAUGAACUCAUGCCACGCAUACACAAGAGCCAUAAAUCCAAGUAGGUCCAUUUGCUGACCAUGAUUCUAUCAGCAACCGUCCACGUUUCUAACUUCUAGGCUAUUAGAUAUGGAUACGUACCACAUUCAUCAUGAGCAACCAGACAUGUUAAAAACAUGCGACAUUGAUUUCAUCGGUUGAUUGAUUCUUUUAUCAUAGACUGAACCUGAGGGAUUGAACUAAUAAUUGGUUUAAAGAUGAGUUGAUCUGACGUUGUUACUGAUUACAUUUGCAGGGAGAAAGAACGCAUGGGCAUGUGGAGUGCUGGUACAGACAAGUAUGUACGGCAUUGGGAUUGCCUACACGAUCACUGCUGCAAUUAGCAUGAGGUAAAUUAAUUAAUUGCUAAUCCGUUUAAAUAAACAUAUCAAUUACCCCGCUCGAUAAUGGAAGUUAAUUAUUUCAUUGUUACUUGUAGGGCGAUUCAGGAAUCGGCGUGUAGUAGUAUUUACAAUGAUAAGAAAGGGGGUGGUGGGUGUGAGGGUGGUGGAGGGAUGAGCUCAUACAUGAUAAUGUUCGGAGUGGCGGAGUUGUUCAUGUCUCAAAUCCCAAACUUCCACGACAUUCAGUGGCUUUCCAAUGUCGCCGCCGUCAUGUCUUUCGCUUACUCCUUCAUCGGUCUCGGCCUUGGCUUCGCUCGUGUCUUAGGUACGUAUAACCAGUAACCACAACUCUAUCACAUCUAAUCAAAUGUUUGCUUGAUGUUUUUCUUAUAAAUUAAUUUUUAAUAUAAUUUCGUCUGGAUUUAACUUUCCUGUUUAAAAUACUUCAAAUUUCAUCCAAAUUUCUAUAUGGCAAAUUUGUAGAUAGUUUCACUAAGCUCAAGUGAAUUUUUGGUACUUGUACGUGCCACUAAUUUGAUUCCUCUGUUCUGAUUGAUAGCUCUGUUGUGGAUAAAAUAGCUGAAUUGGGUUUGCUGUCACACUACUAGACAGUUCCUCUAUUUUUUCUUUUAAAAUUGACAUUUUAUCGUNNNNNNNNNNNNNNNNNNNNNNNNNNNNNNNNNNNNNNNNNNNNNNNNNNNNNNNNGCUCUCAAAUGACAGUAUGGGGACUGGAAAAGAUAAGGAAUCAAUCGCAACUGAUUACGACGACAAAACUGUCGCGUUUCUCCAAAACCAACACUCUUCCACCUACUCCUCUUCUUCCUCUUGCGUGAAGGACGACGAAGCUUACCCCGGCAGCGGCGGAGUAUUAGUAAACAGGAGCGGCACGGUAUGGACGGCGGUGGCGCACA
RNAcentral lists this long non-coding RNA (3007 nucleotides) under Linum usitatissimum (flax). RNAcentral describes it as "long non-coding RNA (LUSI_LNC006802)". The record is from RNAcentral. Lineage: Eukaryota; Viridiplantae; Streptophyta; Magnoliopsida; Malpighiales; Linaceae.